GGGUUGUGAGGUUAAGCGACUAAGCGUACACGGUGGAUGCCCUGGCAGUCAGAGGCGAUGAAGGACGUGCUAAUCUGCGAUAAGCGUCGGUAAGGUGAUAUGAACCGUUAUAACCGGCGAUUUCCGAAUGGGGAAACCCAGUGUGUUUCGACACACUAUCAUUAACUGAAUCCAUAGGUUAAUGAGGCGAACCGGGGGAACUGAAACAUCUAAGUACCCCGAGGAAAAGAAAUCAACCGAGAUUCCCCCAGUAGCGGCGAGCGAACGGGGAGCAGCCCAGAGCCUGAAUCAGUGUGUGUGUUAGUGGAAGCGUCUGGAAAGGCGCGCGAUACAGGGUGACAGCCCCGUACACAAAAAUGCACAUGCUGUGAGCUCGAUGAGUAGGGCGGGACACGUGGUAUCCUGUCUGAAUAUGGGGGGACCAUCCUCCAAGGCUAAAUACUCCUGACUGACCGAUAGUGAACCAGUACCGUGAGGGAAAGGCGAAAAGAACCCCGGCGAGGGGAGUGAAAAAGAACCUGAAACCGUGUACGUACAAGCAGUGGGAGCACGCUUCGGCGUGUGACUGCGUACCUUUUGUAUAAUGGGUCAGCGACUUAUAUUCUGUAGCAAGGUUAACCGAAUAGGGGAGCCGAAGGGAAACCGAGUCUUAACUGGGCGUUAAGUUGCAGGGUAUAGACCCGAAACCCGGUGAUCUAGCCAUGGGCAGGUUGAAGGUUGGGUAACACUAACUGGAGGACCGAACCGACUAAUGUUGAAAAAUUAGCGGAUGACUUGUGGCUGGGGGUGAAAGGCCAAUCAAACCGGGAGAUAGCUGGUUCUCCCCGAAAGCUAUUUAGGUAGCGCCUCGUGAAUUCAUCUCCGGGGGUAGAGCACUGUUUCGGCAAGGGGGUCAUCCCGACUUACCAACCCGAUGCAAACUGCGAAUACCGGAGAAUGUUAUCACGGGAGACACACGGCGGGUGCUAACGUCCGUCGUGAAGAGGGAAACAACCCAGACCGCCAGCUAAGGUCCCAAAGUCAUGGUUAAGUGGGAAACGAUGUGGGAAGGCCCAGACAGCCAGGAUGUUGGCUUAGAAGCAGCCAUCAUUUAAAGAAAGCGUAAUAGCUCACUGGUCGAGUCGGCCUGCGCGGAAGAUGUAACGGGGCUAAACCAUGCACCGAAGCUGCGGCAGCGACGCUGAUGCGUUGUUGGGUAGGGGAGCGUUCUGUAAGCCUGUGAAGGUGUGCUGUGAGGCAUGCUGGAGGUAUCAGAAGUGCGAAUGCUGACAUAAGUAACGAUAAAGCGGGUGAAAAGCCCGCUCGCCGGAAGACCAAGGGUUCCUGUCCAACGUUAAUCGGGGCAGGGUGAGUCGACCCCUAAGGCGAGGCCGAAAGGCGUAGUCGAUGGGAAACAGGUUAAUAUUCCUGUACUUGGUGUUACUGCGAAGGGGGGACGGAGAAGGCUAUGUUGGCCGGGCGACGGUUGUCCCGGUUUAAGCGUGUAGGCUGGUUUUCCAGGCAAAUCCGGAAAAUCAAGGCUGAGGCGUGAUGACGAGGCACUACGGUGCUGAAGCAACAAAUGCCCUGCUUCCAGGAAAAGCCUCUAAGCAUCAGGUAACAUCAAAUCGUACCCCAAACCGACACAGGUGGUCAGGUAGAGAAUACCAAGGCGCUUGAGAGAACUCGGGUGAAGGAACUAGGCAAAAUGGUGCCGUAACUUCGGGAGAAGGCACGCUGAUAUGUAGGUGAGGUCCCUCGCGGAUGGAGCUGAAAUCAGUCGAAGAUACCAGCUGGCUGCAACUGUUUAUUAAAAACACAGCACUGUGCAAACACGAAAGUGGACGUAUACGGUGUGACGCCUGCCCGGUGCCGGAAGGUUAAUUGAUGGGGUUAGCGGUAACGCGAAGCUCUUGAUCGAAGCCCCGGUAAACGGCGGCCGUAACUAUAACGGUCCUAAGGUAGCGAAAUUCCUUGUCGGGUAAGUUCCGACCUGCACGAAUGGCGUAAUGAUGGCCAGGCUGUCUCCACCCGAGACUCAGUGAAAUUGAACUCGCUGUGAAGAUGCAGUGUACCCGCGGCAAGACGGAAAGACCCCGUGAACCUUUACUAUAGCUUGACACUGAACAUUGAGCCUUGAUGUGUAGGAUAGGUGGGAGGCUUUGAAGUGUGGACGCCAGUCUGCAUGGAGCCGACCUUGAAAUACCACCCUUUAAUGUUUGAUGUUCUAACGUUGACCCGUAAUCCGGGUUGCGGACAGUGUCUGGUGGGUAGUUUGACUGGGGCGGUCUCCUCCUAAAGAGUAACGGAGGAGCACGAAGGUUGGCUAAUCCUGGUCGGACAUCAGGAGGUUAGUGCAAUGGCAUAAGCCAGCUUGACUGCGAGCGUGACGGCGCGAGCAGGUGCGAAAGCAGGUCAUAGUGAUCCGGUGGUUCUGAAUGGAAGGGCCAUCGCUCAACGGAUAAAAGGUACUCCGGGGAUAACAGGCUGAUACCGCCCAAGAGUUCAUAUCGACGGCGGUGUUUGGCACCUCGAUGUCGGCUCAUCACAUCCUGGGGCUGAAGUAGGUCCCAAGGGUAUGGCUGUUCGCCAUUUAAAGUGGUACGCGAGCUGGGUUUAGAACGUCGUGAGACAGUUCGGUCCCUAUCUGCCGUGGGCGCUGGAGAACUGAGGGGGGCUGCUCCUAGUACGAGAGGACCGGAGUGGACGCAUCACUGGUGUUCGGGUUGUCAUGCCAAUGGCACUGCCCGGUAGCUAAAUGCGGAAGAGAUAAGUGCUGAAAGCAUCUAAGCACGAAACUUGCCCCGAGAUGAGUUCUCCCUGACUCCUUGAGAGUCCUGAAGGAACGUUGAAGACGACGACGUUGAUAGGCCGGGUGUGUAAGCGCAGCGAUGCGUUGAGCUAACCGGUACUAAUGAACCGUGAGGCUUAACCUUACAACGCCGAAG
RNAcentral lists this ribosomal RNA (2927 nucleotides) under Escherichia coli. RNAcentral describes it as "bacterial LSU rRNA". It matches the Rfam family "Bacterial large subunit ribosomal RNA". The record is from RNAcentral. Lineage: Bacteria; Pseudomonadati; Pseudomonadota; Gammaproteobacteria; Enterobacterales; Enterobacteriaceae.